GGAAUCUUGGACAAUGGGGGCAACCCUGAUCCAGCGACGCCGCGUGGGUGAUGAAGGCCUUCGGGUUGUAACGCCCUUUCGACGGGGACGAUGAUGACGGUACCCGGCGACGAAGCACCGGCUAACUCUGUGCCAGCAGCCGCGGUAAUACAGAGGGUGCAAGCGUUAAUCGGAAUUACUGGGCGUAAAGCGCGCGUAGGUGGUUGGUUAAGGUGGAUGUGAAAGCCCCGGGCUCAACCUGGGAACUGCAUCCAAAACUGGCCGACUAGAGUACAGUAGAGGGUGGUGGAAUUUCCUGUGUAGCGGUGAAAUGCGUAGAUAUAGGAAGGAACACCAGUGGCGAAGGCGACCACCUGGACUGAUACUGACACUGAGGUGCGAAAGCGUGGGGAGCAAAC
RNAcentral lists this ribosomal RNA (398 nucleotides) under uncultured bacterium. RNAcentral describes it as "bacterial SSU rRNA". It matches the Rfam family "Bacterial small subunit ribosomal RNA", at positions 358 to 773 of the family's 1533-position model. The record is from RNAcentral.